CCCGGGCCCGGGGCCAGAUUGCGCGCCUGCGCACUGAGUGAGGGACGGGAGAUUUGCGAUGCAGAGUAGCGCUGCGCUGAAAUAGUUGACAGAUGAAUUACCCCCGAGAGAUGUGGCGAAGGAGCCUAAAUAUUCAUGAGUCUCUCUCUCCUUCUUUUGAGUUGGUGCUGAGAUAUGGAGGGAUUGCGUUAAUGAAUGCAUGCCUGUACACGCGGAAACAGAAACCGGGUAAAGAAGGAACUCUUCAGCUUCAUUUGUUUAAAAUCUACACUUCAUCAACUGUUCCCAUGGAAAGUAACAGUAUAUUGUCAGGCGAUAUAAUUAAUUCUAGGCUCGAUGGAUAAGAAAUGCAACACGUUCUCAUCUCGAAUAUGGUUUCGAUCACACCUGUUCUUGCAAAUAUUUAAUGGAAAUCAUCAUUUUACUGCAAAAUCGAUCAUGUUUAGAUUACAUACAAAUAGUUUUGCACCUAAUCUAAUAUUAAUUUUCUGUUUUAUAGUGUGAAAUUGUCAAAUAAAGUUUAACUAUUCCAGA
Long non-coding RNA from Amblyraja radiata (thorny skate), 534 nucleotides. RefSeq lists it as uncharacterized. The record is from RefSeq and is a predicted model, not a curated record. The transcript has 2 exons. NCBI's taxonomy places the organism in Eukaryota, Metazoa, Chordata, Chondrichthyes, Rajiformes, Rajidae.